AACCCAUGGUGAGGGCACCUUCUUAAUAGGUCCUUGUAUCUCUCCCAUACAUCGUAAAGAGUUUCUAAACCCAUCCUCACAAAAGAAGAGAUAUCAUUCCUUAGUUU
This 107-nucleotide small nucleolar RNA is filed under the name Gossypium arboreum. RNAcentral describes it as "Plant small nucleolar RNA R71". It matches the Rfam family "Plant small nucleolar RNA R71". From Rfam's summary of the family: R71 is a member of the C/D box family of snoRNAs containing the C (UGAUGA) and D (CUGA) box motifs. Multiple nearly identical copies of this snoRNA have been identified in Arabidopsis, and it is thought to function as a 2'-O-ribose methylation guide for 18S ribosomal RNA. The record is from Rfam by way of RNAcentral. Lineage: Eukaryota; Viridiplantae; Streptophyta; Magnoliopsida; Malvales; Malvaceae.